UGAGCAAUCUGCCCUUCUCAUCGGGAAUAAGCGUUGGAAACGACGUCUAAUGCCGAAUACGACCUCCUUUCGCAUGAUCGGAGGUGGAAAGCUCCGGCGGAGAAGGAUGAGCUCGCGGCCUACCAGCUAGUUGGUGUGGGUAAUGGCCCACCAAGGCGACGACGGGUAGCCGGCCUGAGAGGGUGACCGGCCACACUGGGACUGAGACACGGCCCAGACUCCUACGGGAGGNAGCG
This 236-nucleotide ribosomal RNA is filed under the name uncultured bacterium. RNAcentral's name for it is "partial 16S ribosomal RNA". It matches the Rfam family "Bacterial small subunit ribosomal RNA", at positions 118 to 353 of the family's 1533-position model. The record is from RNAcentral.